Molecule: ribosomal RNA, 497 nt
Filed under: uncultured bacterium
Lineage: Bacteria
Description: partial 16S ribosomal RNA
Rfam family: Bacterial small subunit ribosomal RNA
Source: RNAcentral
GAUGAACGCUGGCGGCGUGCCUAAUACAUGCAAGUCGAGCGAACAGACGAGGAGCUUGCUCCUCUGACGUUAUCGGCGGACGGGUGAGUAACACGUGGAUAACCUACCUAUCAGAAUGGGAUACCUUCAGGAAACCGGAGCUACUACCGGAUAAUAUAUUGAACCGCAUGGUUCAAUAGUGAAAGACGGUUUUGCUGUCACUAAUAGCUGGACCCGGGCCGCAUUAGCUAGUUGGUAGGGUGGCGGCUUACCAAGGCGAGGAUGGUUAGACGACCUGAGGGGGUGAUCGGCCACACUGGAACUGAGACACGGUCCAGACUCCUGCGGGAGGCAGCAGUAGGGAAUCUUCCGCAAUGGGCGAAAGCCUGACGGAGCACCGCCGCGUGAGUGAUGAAGGUCUUCGGAUCGUAAAGCUCUGUUAGUAGGGAAGAACUAAUGUGUAAGUAACUAUGCACGUCUUGACGGUACCGGAACAGAAAGCCACGGCUAACUACGUG